Long non-coding RNA from Frieseomelitta varia, 2234 nucleotides. RefSeq lists it as uncharacterized. The record is from RefSeq and is a predicted model, not a curated record. The transcript has 2 exons. NCBI's taxonomy places the organism in Eukaryota, Metazoa, Arthropoda, Insecta, Hymenoptera, Apidae.
UAAAAUUAACCGAUUUUCUUUCUCGCUGUCUAAUUCCAAACAUUUCACCAUGAUUAUUGUCUCUUUUCAUUCUCACGAUAAAUAUCGAUGGAUUUUUUUUAUCGUAUCACUAUAUUUUACCUUUAAAAAGUCGGAAGAAAUCCUCGAUGAGGAUUGUAAGUUUUUCGCGAGCGUCCGAUUUAAACGACCCGGUUGAAAUUGAAAUCGUAGGUUGCAGUUAGAAUCAGACAUCGAGAUAUCGGCGCGAUGGCCAAUCGUUUACGAAGAGAAUCGAGAACAGGGAACAUAUUUCUUGCCGCGACAGGUGCAUAAAGGAACGUCGAAUCAAAAAUGACAAGGUAUUUGAUUUACGGCCAGCGGAGAUUUUUAUACGGAGCCAUUUUUAAAGUCUCGAAUGAAGUGAGCGAAAAAAAUAGUGCAACGCGAACACGGACGUGCCGUUGGCUAGGCUGGUGGUCGAUGUGACCGUUUUUGUCCAUGGAAAUAAUGCGUAUCGUCAAUUACCUGGUUUACCAUUACAAAGCCCAAAGUGAGAAUAGGAUUAUCAAACCGUUUAGAAACGCCACAGAGCCAGUCGAUCUCGUCGAUCCGAUAACGUUUGUCAAUAUCCAUGCUGUUUCUCCACUUUGUUUCGUUUUUAUUUCUAGUUUACAGUCAACGCGGGCGAAAGAAAAUUCAGGAAUUUUCUAUAAAAUCGAAACUGUGCGAGAUAUAUAUGGAGAAAUUCGAAAAUAUAGAUAAACGCAGGAACGUAAUAAUAAAUAAAUAGGAAUUAUUACAAAACUACAAAAGUAAUAAAUUUCUAAUUUAUUGACAAUUUAUACAAAGAAACUUAUGUACAGAUGUAAUAAAAAAAUUCGGGCAAGUCCGACAGCUCUUGGUCAAAGACACGUUGUAGAAAUUAUGUUAUAUUACAUUGUCAACGUGCGAAGAAUGUAUUAAUGAAUACAUUCGAACGAAGAAACAUUACACAAAGAGUCGUAUAUAACUGGCUGUUUAAACGAAGGCCUUCGUACAAAUCCAACGCGUUGAUCAUUUUUCUUUUCGUUCUGGGCGUGGUGUCUCCAACACGAUCAAACGUUGCGUCACCGUAUUUAAACGUUUUUGUGCCGAUCGGUCGAGCUUUUUCACCCCGUCACGCUCCAGGAAGUCGCCAGGACCACCAGCCCCGCCCUUACCCCCGAUAAGUUCACCGACCCACGUGCUCGCGUGUGUCGCCUAUAAAAGCUCACUUAGCAUCAACUUGCACGGCAAUGUUCCAUCGUGAUGGCUGAUGGAAAGUCGCUGCUCGGAAUCUUGGCGGCCUCCGUCGUCCGCGAGGGGAUAUUUCACCGAUCCUCGACUUAACUAGAGGAGGACAGGCCAGAUCGAGGAACGCCGCCGAUCGAUGGACCCUAUCGAUGAAUCGAGAAUCAACCUUACCUACGUCGAGUUUGUCUCUGGUUCCUUCACCUUCAAAUUCGGCUCUCGUUGAAUUUGAACUACGUAUCCGAAAUAUCCGCGCCACGGUGGCCAUCGAUCUCCACUGAACUCUCAGGCCAUUCAGUGGAUCGUCGAGGAUGCACGAGCAGCGGCGCGUCGAAGGAUCCAUCGAUCGUGGCCCGUUCCUCGAUCACCGGCAACUCACGAGGCAUUAACAACCCAGCCACAACCGUAUCUACCUCGUUAUCAGCCACACCUUCUCUCUCGUUCUCGUCUCGUAACGACAGUCUCGCGAAAACAAUUCGACCUUCUUGCUUCGCGCCAGGACGAGAUCGAUCCGCUUGGAAUGUCCACGGUAGUCAAGCAUCUGUUCAACUUGCAAUUCCUGUUCGAGACAGCCUAACUGAUUUAUCGCGAUCCGCCGCGUUCGUCGAUGAAAUACGAGCUAGGGUAUCUUGCUCGUAUGGCUGGACAGAGUGAAAUUCCCGUAAAUCGACGAUUUUAAUUCGACGAUCGAAGUCGAAAUUACAGUCGAAUCGAAACGCGCGCUAAUAUCAGGAAUUGAUUGUUACACAAUCGUAUAACAGUAUCGGCCAAAAGUUUGAUAAUUUUGUAACUUUGUUGCAUUUUAUGUUUGAUUUAAUUGUAAUAAGUCACGCACGUGGUGUGAAUUAAGAAGGAAAAUUAAUUUGCAAUCCUGUGGAAUUUGUAAAUGAAAUUUAAAUCGAAGAUUAAUAAGUUGACAAAUUGCAGUCAUAAAGACUCAAUGACAAACGUUUACGUAAGAAGAUGAAAAUAGUAAGACGAGGGAU